UACGUAGGGCGCAAGCGUUAUCCGGAAUUAUUGGGCGUAAAGAGCUCGUAGGCGGUGUGUCGCGUCGGCCGUGAAAACCUGCAGCUUAACUGUGGGCUUGCGGUCGAUACGGGCAUCACUGGAGUUCGGCAGGGGAGACUGGAAUCCUGGUGUAGCGGUGAAAUGCGCAGAUAUCAGGAGGAACACCGGUGGCGAAGGCGGCGAUCUGGACGAUGACUGACGCUGAGACGCGAAAGCGUGGGGAGCAAACAGG
RNAcentral lists this ribosomal RNA (253 nucleotides) under uncultured bacterium. Its description in RNAcentral is "partial 16S ribosomal RNA". It matches the Rfam family "Bacterial small subunit ribosomal RNA", at positions 524 to 776 of the family's 1533-position model. The record is from RNAcentral.